UACGGAGGAUGCAAGCGUUAUCCGGAAUCAUUGGGCGUAAAGCGUCCGCAGGUGGCUGUUCAAGUCUGCUGUUAAAGACAGAAGCUCAACUUCUGAACAGCAGUGGAAACUGGACGGCUAGAGUACGGUAGGGGUUGAGGGAAUUCCCAGUGUAGCGGUGAAAUGCGUAGAUAUUGGGAAGAACACCAGUGGCGAAGGCGCUCAACUGGGCCGUAACUGACACUCAGGGACGAAAG
This 236-nucleotide ribosomal RNA is filed under the name Chroococcopsis sp. AL7. Its description in RNAcentral is "partial 16S ribosomal RNA". It matches the Rfam family "Bacterial small subunit ribosomal RNA", at positions 524 to 759 of the family's 1533-position model. The record is from RNAcentral. Lineage: Bacteria; Bacillati; Cyanobacteriota; Cyanophyceae; Pleurocapsales; Pleurocapsaceae.